UACUUGUAUCAGGAUAGACACCCUAUAUUACAUCCUUUUAGGGUGCGAACCUUGCUUAAACCAUGGAUGAACGCGAAAAGCUAUUUAUUAGUCCUACAAUUGAUCGAAACGAAAGUUGUGCAAUAACUUUGGAGCAGAUAUUAUAUAUGUUUUAUAGGAUAAAGAAAUAUAUACAUACCGAUAGCAUGGGGCACGUGGAAUCCCGUGUGAAUCAGCAAGGACCACCUUACAAGGCUAAAUAUUCCUGGGUGACCGAUAGCGAAGUAGUACCAUGAGGGAUGGGUGAAAAGAACCCUCAUCGGGGAGUGAAAUAGAACAUG
Molecule: non-coding RNA, 320 nt
Filed under: Nicotiana tabacum (common tobacco)
Lineage: Eukaryota; Viridiplantae; Streptophyta; Magnoliopsida; Solanales; Solanaceae
Description: Bacterial large subunit ribosomal RNA
Rfam family: Bacterial large subunit ribosomal RNA
Source: Rfam by way of RNAcentral